GACGAACGCUGGCGGCGUGCUUAACACAUGCAAGUCGAGCGGUAAGGCCUUUCGGGGUACACGAGCGGCGAACGGGUGAGUAACACGUGGGUGAUCUGCCCUGCACUUCGGGAUAAGCCUGGGAAGCUGGGUCUAAUACCGGAUAUGACCUCCUAUCGCAUGGUGGGUGGUGGAAAGAUUUAUCGGUGCAGGAUGGGCCCGCGGCCUAUCAGCUUGUUGGUGGGGUAAUGGCCUACCAAGGCGACGACGGGUAGCCGACCUGAGAGGGUGACCGGCCACACUGGGACUGAGACACGGCCCAGACUCCUACGGGAGGCAGCAGUGGGGAAUAUUGCACAAUGGGCGAAAGCCUGAUGCAGCGACGCCGCGUGAGGGAUGACGGCCUUCGGGUUGUAAACCUCUUUCAGCAGGGACGAAGCGCAAGUGACGGUACCUGCAGAAGAAGCACCGGCUAACUACGUG
Molecule: ribosomal RNA, 462 nt
Filed under: uncultured bacterium
Lineage: Bacteria
Description: partial 16S ribosomal RNA
Rfam family: Bacterial small subunit ribosomal RNA
Source: RNAcentral